Molecule: ribosomal RNA, 440 nt
Filed under: uncultured bacterium
Lineage: Bacteria
Description: partial 16S ribosomal RNA
Rfam family: Bacterial small subunit ribosomal RNA
Source: RNAcentral
CCUACGGGAGGCAGCAGUGGGGAAUAUUGCACAAUGGGGGAAACCCUGAUGCAGCGACGCCGCGUGAGUGAAGAAGGAUUUCGGUAUGUAAAGCUCUAUCAGCAGGGAAGAAAAUGACGGUACCUGACCAAGAAGCCACGGCUAACUCCGUGCCAGCAGCCGCGGUAAUACGUAGGGGGCAAGCGUUAUCCGGAAUUACUGGGUGUAAAGGGAGCGUAGACGGUUAAGUAAGUCUGGAGUGAAAGGCCGGGGCCCAACCCCGGGACUGCUCUGGAAACUAUGGAACUUGAGUGCAGGAGAGGUAAGCGGAAUUCCUAGUGUAGCGGUGAAAUGCUUAGAUAUUAGGAGGAACACCAGUUGCGAAGGCGGCUUACUGGACUGUACCUGACGUUGAGGCUCGAAAGCGUGGGGAGCAAACAGGAUUAGAUACCCUUGUAGUC